UAUNGGUCAAUGGGCGGGAGCCUGAACCAGCNAAGUCGCGUGAGGGAGUAAGGCCCUACGGGUCGUAAACCUCUUUUGCCGGGGAGCAGGGCGGCGUACGUGUCCGCCGUUUGAGAGUACCCGGAGCAAAAGCAUCCGCUAACUCCGUGCCAGCUGCCGCGGUAAUACGCAGGAUGCGAGCGUUAUCCGGAUUUAUUGUGUUUAAAGGGUGCGUAGGCGGGCUUUUAAGUCAGCGGUAAAAAUUCGGGGCUCAACCCCGUCCGGCCGUUGAAACUGGGGGCCUUGAGUGGGCGAGAAGAAGGCGGAAUGCGUGGUGUAGCGGUGAAAUGCAUAGAUAUCACGCGGAACCCCGAUUGCGAAGGCAGCCUUCCGGCGCCCUACUGACGCUGAGGCACGAAAGUGCGGGGAUCGAACAGG
RNAcentral lists this ribosomal RNA (417 nucleotides) under uncultured bacterium. Its description in RNAcentral is "bacterial SSU rRNA". It matches the Rfam family "Bacterial small subunit ribosomal RNA", at positions 362 to 776 of the family's 1533-position model. The record is from RNAcentral.